Molecule: ribosomal RNA, 517 nt
Filed under: uncultured Glomus
Lineage: Eukaryota; Fungi; Glomeromycota; Glomeromycetes; Glomerales; Glomeraceae
Description: SSU rRNA
Rfam family: Eukaryotic small subunit ribosomal RNA
Source: RNAcentral
AACAGCCGCGGUAAUUCCAGCUCCAAUAGCGUAUAUUAAAGUUGUUGCAGUUAAAAGCUCGUAGUUGAAUUUCGGGAUCAAUACGUCGGUCGUGCUUAGGUACGUACUGGCGUAAUUGAUUUCUCCCUUCUGACGAACCAUGAUGUCAUUAACUUGGUGUCAUGGGAAAUCAGGACUGUUACUUUGAAAAAUUAGAGUGUUUAAAGCAGGCUCACGCUUGAAUACAUUAGCAUGGAAUAAUGAAAUAGGACGUUCGAUCCUAUUUUGUUGGUUUUAGGAUCAACGUAAUGAUUAAUAGGGAUAGUUGGGGGCAUUAGUAUUCAAUUGUCAGAGGUGAAAUUCUUGGAUUUAUUGAAGACUAACUACUGCGAAAGCAUUUGCCAAGGAUGUUUUCAUUAAUCAAGAACGAAAGUUAGGGGAUCGAAGACGAUCAGAUACCGUCGUAGUCUUAACCAUAAACUAUGCCGACUAGGGAUCGGAUGAUGUUAAUUUUUAAUGACUCAUUCGGCGCCUUAAC